This 496-nucleotide ribosomal RNA is filed under the name uncultured bacterium. RNAcentral describes it as "partial 16S ribosomal RNA". It matches the Rfam family "Bacterial small subunit ribosomal RNA", at positions 29 to 507 of the family's 1533-position model. The record is from RNAcentral.
AUGAACGCUGGCGGCGUGCCUAAUCCCUGCAAGUCGCGCGAACAGGCGAGGAGCUUGCUCCUCUGACGUUAGCGGCGGACGGGUGAGUAACACGUGGAUAACCUACCUAUAAGACUGGGAUAACUUCGGGAAACCGGAGCUAAUACCGGAUAAUAUAUUGAACCGCAUGGUUCCAUAGUGAAAGACGGUUUUGCUGUCACUUAUAGAUGGAUCCGCGCCGCAUUAGCUAGUUGGUAAGGUAACGGCUUACCAAGGCAACGAUGCGUAGCCGACCUGAGAGGGUGAUCGGCCACACUGGAACUGAGACACGGUCCAGACUCCUACGGGAGGCAGCAGUAGGGAAUCUUCCGCAAUGGGCGAAAGCUUGACGGAGCAACGCCGCGUGAGUGAUGAAGGUCUUCGGAUCGUAAAACUCUGUUAUUAGGGAAGAACAAAUGUGUAAGUAACUAUGCACGUCUUGACGGUACCUAAUCAGAAAGCCACGGCUAACUACGUG